RNAcentral lists this ribosomal RNA (293 nucleotides) under uncultured bacterium. RNAcentral's name for it is "partial 16S ribosomal RNA". It matches the Rfam family "Archaeal small subunit ribosomal RNA", at positions 455 to 747 of the family's 1478-position model. The record is from RNAcentral.
GUGCCAGCCGCCGCGGUAAUACCGGCAGCCCGAGUGAUGGCCGAUAUUAUUGGGCCUAAAGCGUCCGUAGCUGGCCGAACAAGUCCGUCGGGAAAUCCACGUGCUUAACGCGUGGGCGUCCGGUAGAAACUGGCCGGCUUGGAACCGGAAGGCUCAGAGAGUACGUCCGGGGUAGGAGUGAAAUCCCGUAAUCCCGGACGGACUACCGAUGGCGAAAGCACUCUGAGAAGACGGCUUCGACAGUGAGGGACGAAAGCUCGGGUCUCAAACCGGAUUAGAUACCCGAGUAGUCC